Molecule: long non-coding RNA, 1289 nt
Organism: Biomphalaria glabrata
Lineage: Eukaryota; Metazoa; Mollusca; Gastropoda; Planorbidae
Exons: 5
Source: RefSeq, a predicted model, not a curated record
GAUUAUGAGCAGAUCAGUUCUAGAUCUAGAUCUAUUACGCUUGUUGUCAAUAGUACCUUGUAGAUCUACUUAUACUAGAGUCGAAUUAGCUUGUGACCAAUUAAGCGCCUUUAGGCUUCAGGGAUCACUUACAACUAAAGACUCACUAACAGUAAAGUGGAAGGCUACCUGAUUGUGUGGCAUGUGCACUGAAAUGUCAUAUCCAUGGAAUUGUGUUUGAACUCUUCAUUUCCCGGCACCCUGAGAUCUAUGGCCAUAAUGAAUGUCUUCGAGGCUCGCAAAGACCUUCCUUUAAGGAACAGUACCAGGAAAAAGAAGAAGAGGCAGACUGAGAAGGCGAUUGGAAGACAACAUAAAAGAAUGCCAUUGUAGGAGGUUCUGACAAAAGAUAGAGAGGAAUAAAGAAGGGUGAUCAACAAAUCUUGCAUGGUGCCCCAAUGGUCCAACAGACUAAGGGAUAGGUAAAAGAUUUUCAAAAUUAUGAACAAUUGGUUGAAAUAGAGAAAGACAAUAAAGGGAAAAAAAAAUAGCUGAUGAAUAGACAGUGAUUUUGUGGACAGUACAGACUUAAAUGAUGAAACCUAAAGGCAAUGGCAAAUUGACAAUGUCAAACCUACUAAUCAAACACAAGUGAGUACCUGUAUAGCCCUAAUGCUGAAGACAUUCUUAAGGAAGCUCUGAAAAAAAAAAGGUAAAAUUUCUACUCUAUAAUAUGACCUGCACUAAACAUAAUUUAAACCAAAUUGAAAGCAGAGGAGAUAUACACAUCAUCAUUAUCUUUCCUUUGUGUUCUUCAUGGAACAUAGUGCCUCAGUAAAAACAUGCCACUCUCCACAGUCUCAUGCUAGUUUUGUAAUGGCUUCCCAGCUUUCUUCCUGUUCUCUUUGCUUCAUCUAAUACACUCUGUUCCCACAUUCCUUUUGGUCUUCUUCUGUGUCUUGUGCCCUGGGGGGUUCCACUCUAAGGCCUGCCUAGCUCUGUUGUUGGUAUCUUUUCUAAGGGUGUGACCAAUCCAUCUCCACUUUCUCUCUAAGAUCUUCACCUCUAUAUUUCUCUGUCCACCCAUCUCCAACAGUUAGGUGUUUAUACCUCUGUAUUUUCAAGAUAUUUCUUAGGAGUAUCUUGAUAAAGGUGUGUACUUUGUUGUUGUUACUUCAGUUCUCCAUGUUUCAGAACCAUACAGUAGGACUGCCUUGUCAUUAGAGUAAAAGAUUCCUAUUUUAGUCACCUGAAGCACAUACCUUGCCGCAGCGUGACAGCUUGCAUACCUCAAUGAUCUUCAGAGCUGU